AAAACAUAGUUUCGCUGUGUGGCGAUAAUCUGCAGGGAGCCUGGAUAGCUGUAAUGCUUCAUUGCUGCUUCCUCCAUGUCUGGCUUUGCAUUAACUCUUCAAUUUGCUUGCUUUGGCUUCCCUGACUGUUAAAUGUAUACACACAGGGUCACUUCGAAAUAGGAGAAAAUCGGCUGUCGCAGUCGGCUGCUCCUCAGCCUCCAAGCACCGGUGCUGGAGACUGAAGAGACAGGCAAACAAGAAUGAAAUACGAACAGCAAAAAGAAGAGGCAAAAUGUCUGACAGAAAGUACAACAGAUGCCAUCCUAUGUAACUUGCUGCAUCAAUUUGACUCAUAAAAUGGGAA
RNAcentral lists this long non-coding RNA (346 nucleotides) under Anser brachyrhynchus (Pink-footed goose). Its description in RNAcentral is "lncRNA (ENSABRG00000005226.1)". The record is from RNAcentral. Lineage: Eukaryota; Metazoa; Chordata; Aves; Anseriformes; Anatidae.